Molecule: long non-coding RNA, 265 nt
Organism: Talpa occidentalis (Iberian mole)
Lineage: Eukaryota; Metazoa; Chordata; Mammalia; Eulipotyphla; Talpidae
Exons: 3
Source: RefSeq, a predicted model, not a curated record
UAUGUGUCGGGGUGUCUCGGCAGCUCCGGGGGAGCAUCUCCUGUUGUGUCUUCUGCUAUCUUUGUGAACUGGAUACCGGCCUAUUGUCUGCUGGAAGACGCCAUCAUGGGAGCGUGGCCUUUGUUCAGAUAGGACUGUAAAGCACCGGACACUGCUUUAGUUACAGCUCUGCAGUCUACUUUUUGGCAUCCAGGCUUGAUUGCUGUUAUUGCAUCUCCUCAUCUCACUUUUUUUUUGCAGGACACCUACGGAUAGAAGAGAAGAG